GUGUGUGUGUGUAUCACAAGAAAGUUAGGUUCUAAUAGGUUGCUCUAGCCAUAGAAAUUAAACGGACCCUUGGGGCUCACUGUACGAGCCACUAAAACCAAACCUAGCAACUACCAAGUGCACAGAUCAUUAAGAG
Sander lucioperca (pikeperch) is the source of this 136-nucleotide long non-coding RNA. RefSeq lists it as uncharacterized. Lineage: Eukaryota; Metazoa; Chordata; Actinopteri; Perciformes; Percidae. The record is from RefSeq and is a predicted model, not a curated record. The transcript has 3 exons.